RNAcentral lists this ribosomal RNA (515 nucleotides) under uncultured fungus. Its description in RNAcentral is "SSU rRNA". It matches the Rfam family "Eukaryotic small subunit ribosomal RNA", at positions 209 to 726 of the family's 1831-position model. Lineage: Eukaryota; Fungi. The record is from RNAcentral.
AUUAGAUUAAAAACCAAUGCCCUUCGGGGCUCUCUGGUGAUUCAUGAUAACUUCUCGAAUCGCAUGGCCUUGCGCCGGCGAUGGUUCAUUCAAAUUUCUUCCCUAUCAACUUUCGAUGUUUGGGUAUUGGCCAAACAUGGUUGCAACGGGUAACGGAGGGUUAGGGCUCGACCCCGGAGAAGGAGCCUGAGAAACGGCUACUACAUCCAAGGAAGGCAGCAGGCGCGCAAAUUACCCAAUCCCGACUCGGGGAGGUAGUGACAAUAAAUACUGAUACAGGGUUCCUUCGGAUCUUGUAAUUGGAAUGAGUACAAUUAAAUCCCUUAACGAGGAACAAUUGGAGGGCAAGUCUGGUGCCAGCAGCCGCGGAAUUCCAGCUCCAAUAGCGUAUAUUAAAGUUGUUGUGGUUAAAAAGCUCGUAGUUGAACCUUGGGCCUGGCUGGCCGGUCCGCCUCACCGCGUGUACUGGUCCGGCCGGGCCUUUCCCUCUGUGGAACCCUAUGCCCUUCACUGGG